AUCAGAUGGAUAUAUAGCUAUGCCUUCGAAGGCAUGGUCCUGUUUUGGCUUAAUGUAGACAAUUGCUGUAUUUCUUUUCUGUUUAUUUGCUGGAGACAUAUAGAAUGGUUAGAAUCUUUAGAUUCUGUGAAAUUUUUAUGCAAACAUCAAAUAGAUAUAGAGCUAUGCCUUCGCAGGCUCGGUUGGAUAGGAAAUGUAUCUUUGAUCUUUGAAGCUCACAUCAAUUUUCAUUUGUGUAAAUGUAUCAAACAGAGAGACUUGUUUUGAGCCAGUGAUGAAUAUCUCUGUACAAGACCCAUGUCAGCAGAGAAGGGAGGUCGUAAGCAUCCUCGAAGUGACAAUAUUUAGGGGAUGUUCAUGUCAUCAAUGAGAAAGUUGCUAAAAAACAAGAAGGAAUUGGAGCUGCCUUCAUCGUUUCAACGCAGCAGCAAGACAGUGGUAUUACUCCCUGACUUGCAAAUGUAGACAUUCAAGAGCAUGCGUUCUUGGAGGAAAGAUUGUUCCCUGAAGGUAGAUAAAUU
This is a long non-coding RNA of Magnolia sinica, 521 nucleotides long. RefSeq lists it as uncharacterized. The record is from RefSeq and is a predicted model, not a curated record. The transcript has 4 exons. NCBI's taxonomy places the organism in Eukaryota, Viridiplantae, Streptophyta, Magnoliopsida, Magnoliales, Magnoliaceae.